RNAcentral lists this ribosomal RNA (404 nucleotides) under uncultured bacterium. RNAcentral's name for it is "bacterial SSU rRNA". It matches the Rfam family "Bacterial small subunit ribosomal RNA", at positions 951 to 1354 of the family's 1533-position model. The record is from RNAcentral.
ACGGGGGGAACGCGAAGAACCUUACCUAGGCUUGACAUGCAGUGGCUAUCACCAGAGAUGGUGAGUUCCUUAGGGACUGCUGCACAGGUGCUGCAUGGCUGUCGUCAGCUCGUGCCGUGAGGUGUUGGGUUAAGUCCCGCAACGAGCGCAACCCUUAUUGUUAGUUGCCAACAGGUAAUGCUGGGAACUCUAACGAGACUGCCCGGGUGAACCGGGAGGAAGGUGGGGAUGACGUCAAGUCAGCAUGGCCCUUAUGUCUAGGGCUACUCACGUGCUACAAUGGUCGGUACAGAGGGAAGCGAAGCCGCGAGGUGAAGCAAAUCCCAGAAAGCCGGCCCCAGUUCAGAUUGCAGUCUGCAACUCGACUGCAUGAAGUUGGAAUUGCUAGUAAUGGCGCGUCAGCA